UAAGGAAUAUUGGUCAAUGGACGCAAGUCUGAACCAGCUAUGCCGCGUGAAGGAUUAAGGUCCUCUGGAUUGUAAACUUCUUUUAUCUGGGACGAAAAAAGGCCUUUCUAGGCUUCUUGACGGUACCAGAUGAAUAAGCACCGGCUAACUCCGUGCCAGCAGCCGCGGUAAUACGGAGGGUGCAAGCGUUAAUCGGAAUUACUGGGCGUAAAGCGUGCGCAGGCGGUCUUGUAAGACAGAUGUGAAAUCCCCGGGCUCAACCUGGGAACUGCAUUUGUGACUGCAAGGCUAGAGUGCGGCAGAGGGGGAUGGAAUUCCGCGUGUAGCAGUGAAAUGCGUAGAUAUGACAUAGAACACCUAUUGCGAAGGCAGCUUACUACGCAUAUAUUGACGCUGAGGCACGAAAGCGUGGGGAUCAAACAGG
RNAcentral lists this ribosomal RNA (424 nucleotides) under uncultured bacterium. RNAcentral's name for it is "bacterial SSU rRNA". It matches the Rfam family "Bacterial small subunit ribosomal RNA", at positions 355 to 776 of the family's 1533-position model. The record is from RNAcentral.